RNAcentral lists this ribosomal RNA (253 nucleotides) under uncultured bacterium. RNAcentral describes it as "partial 16S ribosomal RNA". It matches the Rfam family "Bacterial small subunit ribosomal RNA", at positions 524 to 776 of the family's 1533-position model. The record is from RNAcentral.
UACGUAGGGUGCGAGCGUUAAUCGGAAUUACUGGGCGUAAAGCGUGCGCAGGCGGCUUUGCAAGACAGAUGUGAAAUCCCCGGGCUCAACCUGGGAACUGCAUUUGUGACUGCAAGGCUAGAGUACGGCAGAGGGGGAUGGAAUUCCGCGUGUAGCAGUGAAAUGCGUAGAAAUGCGGAGGAACACCAAUGGCGAAGGCAAUCCCCUGGGCCUGUACUGACGCUCAUGCACGAAAGCGUGGGGAGCAAACAGG